This is a long non-coding RNA of Mustela erminea (ermine), 595 nucleotides long. RefSeq lists it as uncharacterized. The transcript has 3 exons. NCBI's taxonomy places the organism in Eukaryota, Metazoa, Chordata, Mammalia, Carnivora, Mustelidae. The record is from RefSeq and is a predicted model, not a curated record.
CCUCCUCUUGACAUGCAGAACAAACAGAAGAGGCAAGAAGCCAGAGCACUGUACCUCCUCUGAGGUCCAAGUCCGAGGCUGCAGUGACACGACAGGAGGAAGGAAGCAGAGAGUCAUUCCCCUGAGUCAGGCGGGGCUUGUCCCGCGCUAACUAGGCUUCUUUCUCCCUCUCCAAGCGCUUUGGUAACAGAGCUGGAUCCCGCCAUCCUACCCCCAGAGGAGCCCAGGAGUAAACAGGCUGGGUUCCCACCGCGUAGGGGAUCCAGAAUCCCCACUGUAGACGCCGUCUCCGGGAACGCGAGAGCCCCCACCCCGCCCCAACCCCAACCCCAACCCCAACCUCACUGACUGGAGGAGACCUGUUCUUUCUGACAAAAGGGGAUCUGGAUUAUCCUCAGAAGGUCUGUUGGAGGAGGACGGUAAAGGCGAAUCAACAGAGGUGUUACCAGGAAUGUCCUGAAGAUUCCGAUAAAAAUAUGCCCAGAAACCUAAGGGCCCAGACUUAUUGCUGAUACUGUGUAAGUACCAGAUUUCACCCAUUAUUUGAAUCAGAUAAAUGCAUCUUUCCAUUGGCAAGUUUUGCUCUACUCUUAGA